UUUUUUUUAUUUAUUCAUUGGAGACACAGAGAGAAAGAGGCAGAGACACAAGCAAAGGGAGAAGCAGGCUCCAUGCAGGGAGUCUGAUGCGGGACUCGAUCCCAGGACCCUGGGAUUAUGCCCUGAGCCAAAGGCAGACACUCAACCGCUGAGCCACCCAGGCGUCUCCCCCUCCUAUUAUUCUUAAUAAGGCAUCCACAAUGUAUGUACACUAUUUUACAGUUUUAAAAGCACUUUAACAUCUGUUAGCUGAUACAAUGAUCUCAGUAGCCUUCCCAGCUAGACAGAAAUAGUUACUUCUAUGAUACAGGUGAGGAAUAAAAGGACUUGCCCAAAUUCACACCCUCAUCAAGUGGCAGAGGAUAAGCAUGUAGGCUUAUUUUUCAUCUACAAUGCCCAAUUCCUUUCAACUGUAGGGCAUUGCUUCUCUGAGUAUUCUUCUAGGAAGACUGAAAACAUUAACUUGGCAGCCAUUAGAACAAAGCCCACCUUACUAAAUGUUAUAUUAGUAACAAUCCUUUAUGGAUUGUGUUAACCUUCUCCUAUGGCAUGCCAAGUGCCUCUGUCAGGCUGGACGGUCCACCUGGAGAUUCUAAGGACAGAGAUUGGGUCUUAUUCAUGCCUGUACCACCAUUCCUGUCAGAUAAGACAAGCUCAAUGCAUGUUUGCUGUAUGCAUGGAUGGAUUCUGUAGGCACUUAAUGAUUUACACUCUUCAUCUUAUUAUUUGAUUUUCCAAAAAGCCCCAGAACAUAAAGGAAAGCUGAUAUCAUUAUCUUCAUUUAACUAACGAUGAGAUGCAGGUCACACCAAAGCUGCUAUCAUUUUCUUUCUUUUAAAAAGUAUAAUGGACUCAUACUCCCUCCUGGAGCAGAACCCAGCUGAAUUCUACACUCUGCUCUUGGCCCUGGCACAUAGUCUGCUUAAAAGCCAAGAUAGACAGUUUUGUUAUCUUUCAUAUCUUACAAAAUACAUCAAAUUCUGAAAAACUCUGUGGUAAUUAGACCAAAAAGAAAAAGGCAGGCGGGGGGGUGGGUGCUAAAGCUGAAUCUUUCAACCUGGAAUAAUUGUUACAUUCCUAUUCUUUCCCUUUCUCACCUCCUUUUGGUCUUCAUUGUCUAUAAUGUGAAAUAUUCAUUUUCCUCCACAAAAAGAAUCCACUUCUUAUAGAAUAGAACUGACAGGCUUGUGGGAGGCUUGCUCUCUACGUUAACCCUUCCUGCUGGGUUUUGCAGCACACAGCUUUUCCCAAAUGGACUCAACCACCUGCCUCUCCUCUAGCACCCUGAGCGUUCUUCUGAAAUGUGGAGUCUGAUGAUGCCUCUUCUCUACCAGGACCACUGAGCUCCCCAACAAAUGCUGCAAACAUUGUCUAACCUGCCUCUCAGGGUAUCCAAACUCUCUAUCCUACUUAUGUUUGCAGGCCAAUCUCCCAAGCUUCCUCUCCAUGGGCUUUGCAUUCUACCAAACUAGAAUAGUUAACCAUCCCUUAAACAACUCUGCAUCUCCCCAUCCCAUCCCCAGGCCAUCACCACUACCAAGGAUGAAGACUUCAUUUCUAAAAAUCCUCCCAAUCCUUCAAGGGUUUUCCCUUGAGACCUUCUCCUGUUCCUUCCAGCAAUUCAUUCAACAAAUAUUUAAUAAGAAAAACCUUAAUGCCCAACAAACUAUUUUCAAAGAGUUUAAUAUCACCUGAGAAAAAAGAGAUACAAAUAAGAGAAAUACAACACAGUGAGGUGCUGUCAUGGUGUCAUCGCAAAACAAUGGGUUAGCCAGUGGAGGAGGGGGAGGAUAGAGAAGGGUCCAUCCUGAUAAUUGCUGAGACUUUAAUCUAGGCAGAAGGUGAGGAGGGGGGGAACAGCACCAGACUGAGUUUGAAAUAGACAAGUCUUAUGUAAUGCCCGCCCUUCCUUCCUUCCUUCCUUCUUCCUUCCUUCCUUCCUUCCUUCCUUCCUUCCUUCCUUCCUUCCUUCCUUUCUUCCUCAGAUAUUUAUUCAUUCAUUUAGACAUCGAGCUUGAAUAUGUGCACAGCACUGUACUAGGAAUGCAGAAAUGAAUGUUACAUGAUGGUUCUCACCCUUAGAAGUUCACAUUCUAGUAGGAGAGACAGAGAUGUACCCACGAGGCUCGGCCAUAGGUGAGAAACACUGUGCCAAGGGCUGGGGAAUGAGAGGAUAGUGGCUGGCUCUGCCUGGCAAAGACCCGUAAAGCUUCAGAACAGGAUGAUAUUUGUCAAAGCUCUAAAAGGGAGAAGGAGUUUACUGGAAGGAGAAGAAAGAAAAAAAGAAAGAAAGGGAGGGAGGGAGGGAAGGGGGAAAGAAAGGGAGACUGUAUCAGUCAGUCCAGUCAAGAGAAAAUAACUCUCCUAAUUAUUUUAACAUAACAUUAAAAAAAAAGAUGUUUAGUUUCAGAAUUAUUAACUAAGUGACUAAGAGAUCAAAAGGAACUCUAAGGCAUCCUGAAGGUAGAAGUUGCAAGAGGCAGCUAUCACCCCCAUACUUAAGAAACAAAUGGAAACACUUAGAAACUUAGAAGAGAAGGCCCAUGGGUGGGCGGUGUUAGAAAACUGAGACACUAUUCAGGGCACUACUCAGCUGAGGCUGAGCCCAUGGGAGGGACCCCAGGAGCUAGUCCAACUCUUGAGGACAGGCACAGGUCGGCUGGUGCUAGAGUCUCCUGAGAUGUGGCCUACAACUGGGUCUGCAAGUGUUGAGAAGUGUGCAGCUACUCCAAGAAGGAACUGCAGCUUCCGAGGUGAACAAGUGUCUGUUCCUAGAUGCUAACCCAGCGGCUCUAAAGCAAGGGUGAUUUUUGCCUUCUGAGCAUCAUUGUUCAAUGCCUGGAGGUAUGCUUUAUAGUCACCACUUGUGGGGGGAUUGCUACUGGAAUUUAGUAGGUGGAGUAGAAGGGUGCCGCUAAAUAUUCUGCAGGGUUGAGCACGUCCUCAACAAAGAAUUACCAAGUUUGAAAUGUCCAUAGUGCCGAACUUGAGAAACCAUUGUAGGUUAACAGGAAGAGGAACAAGAAGCAAGCAUGGAAUUAAAUCUCAUCUUCCCCCAUCCAGCCAUGGCAUCUUCCUCUAGCGCUCCCUAUUGGCAGAGCCUAAGAGGGAGCCAGCAGGUGGAGCAGAAAUCCGGAUUUGUCCCAGGCCCAGCAUCACAAAGCCAAGUACAGAAAGAUGGGUAUGUAGCCGAAAGCCAAUAAGUUAAUAACUGGCACAAGCAUUUUGGCCCAGGUUCUCAGAGCAAGCAAAGCCAUGACGGCAGAUAUAGGAGUGGCAUGACAGCAAUGCCUAGCACAUUGUAGGUGCUCAGCAGAGAGUGAGCAAACAUUUAUUCAGUGAAUGACUUCUAGAUGAAAGACUUUCAAGCUGUAUGAGAAUGAGCACAAUGUCUCCUGACAGUGAAAUUUUUUGUAUCCAUGAAGUUGGUAUUUUUCUUUGCUUUUGUCUGUUGUCUUAUAAGGAAUAGAGUACCUCCUGAAAUUCAGUUCUCAGAGUGUGUCAAAGGUGUUACAGUCCUUUUGUCUCAUAACUGUUUUUUUUUUACACAAAUGAGAUCAUGUGACUUUCACUCAUCAACAGUAUCAUGGAGAUGUUUGCACAAUAUUUUUUUUUGCACAAUAUUAAUAAAGAUUUAUUUAGUGCUAGUUCUACCUUAUGGUAUACUUUACCACUUUUAUUUUACUUCAGCUGCCACCUGCUUACCUAUUUUUGGAUGAGAAAACUAAAGCUCAAGCAAGGUGAAGUGAUUUGUCCCAAGUGGUACCUUAAGUGGAAGAGUGAAAUUAGAACCCCAGAAAGGUGAUUUGUGCUUGAGUUGCUCUGAGGCAGCUGAUUUACUGUGUCACUUAGCCCUUCCCAAUCUGGGUGUGUUUCAAGUGCAGCCAGGCUCCUAUGGUGUGCUAAACCCUUUACCUUUUCCUCCCAUACAUUUUGUUCCCACUCACUUGUAGAAUCAAUGGAGCAAUUCAGGGUGUUAGUUUUUCAGGAGAGAACUAUAAUCCAGUGAGAAACAUGGAAGAGUUUAUGGAUGAACUCAGGCUGCAUGGUCUCAUACAGACAGGGUAGGGAACCCAGUCCUGAGAGGUCAGGGAAGCCUUUCUCUGGUGACAUCCAAAGGAGAAGGAGGAAACAGAGGAAGGAGAGGGCAGGCUGGACAGGAAGGAAAAGCAUGUGCAAAGUGCAAGAUGAAACAUUAAAGGCCUGCAAGCUGACCAUGGAAGGGGUUUGGCUAUGAGGGCAAUGUAGUGGGAAGAGUGACAUGUAAGAGCUGGAUCAAUGACUGUUGCUUAUAAACCCUGUAAGUUAUAUGAAGAAAGUUGGACUUUAUAAUGGUCUAGCUAAUUAUGUGAGCACACCAUUUUCUUGAGUUUUGGUCUCCACUGUGUAAAAUGGUAGUAACAGCAUCUGUUCUGUCUACCAAACGGGGCCUGAGUUGUUCAAAUAAAAUACAAACACACACACACACACACACGCAAACACACACAUCACAUGGAAAUUUGCUUAGGAAACUGUCACACAUUAUCACUACAGCAACCCCGAGUCAGCUUCGGAAAAUAGAAGCAGCAGUUUUCUCUUUCCUCCCAUCUCCCUUAACCCCUGUGGAGGAAAAAGCCCCCUUUGGAAAAGAAAGACUCUCCUUAGUCCUUUGCCAAAGCUUUCUCAAGUAAUAAUCCAUAAUGCAAUCUUCAUUGAAAUUGUAUUUCAGCCCCCCUCUGCUAAAAAUAUAAAUACAUCUGACUUCAGCCUCCGAAUGGCCUUUGUGCCUUCCUGCCCCUGGUGUGCGCCUUCCUAAGUGGCUGUCCUCGCCGUGGGCACCAGCCUGUGUGAUAACAUUAUAAUUUUGUGUAUAUUGUGCUCUCCGAGGCCAUGCUGAGGCCAGCGCGAGGAAAUGGCAAUUGACAGCAGGGCCAGUCUUUGUGAAGAUCUGUGGCUUCCUCCUCUGUGGGUUCAUUUGGCUCCAGCUACUGUAUUUGGGUGGCUGGCCCCAAGAAGCCAUGGACACAGGCACCAGCACUCCCCUUAACUGAGUGCUUUGUUAAAAAAAAAAAAAAAAGAGGCAACUUAAAAUUGAGGUGUCCCAGGAUAGAGAAUGAAUGGCUUGAGGAAAGAGGGGGUAGGCAACAACCCAGAACACAGUCAUCUGGACCAUAUGUGUGAACUCUGAGUUGCUGGAAUCCAAAACCAAAUCCAGCAGAGCCUUCAAAUCGCCAGGGCUAAUGGUUUGCACAUCAUCUAUUUACCCUGGAUCUUUCUACUGCAUUGUAUAGCUCCCAACACAAAUCACUUUUACGCUGCCAAGGAUGCGAACAUUUGAGAAAUAUUUAUUAAAUGUCCACUCUGAGCUAACAUCUGUAGGCACUGAGGAUAGUGAUGAACAAGGAACAGUUUACCAUGCAAGGAACUCACACUGGGUAAGGAGUCCAUUGCACCAUCAGUGCAAAUGCUAGUUUCUCUCCACUGAUUAAGAGAAGUUGCUAAGGGACAAUGGCUCACAAAGGGUUAAAUGGAAAGCUGUGUAUUCUGAUUAUCAUAGUGACUCGAAUGCCAGCAUUCAGAAAGGUUCCAUCUCCAUCUCUUUUUUGCUUUUACUUACUCUCUUCAUUUGCAUGGAGGAAGGAAAGCCAAAGCCUCUUACCAAUUACCCCAUGCACUGAGCCACAGACCCAAACGGAGCUCAGAUUAUCUAUUUAAUUCUCUAGCCUGCAAGGGGGCAUUUACCUAUUGUCUAUGUCUUAGCCAAAUGUAAUGGAUUAGUUCAGAGCC
This 5766-nucleotide long non-coding RNA is filed under the name Canis lupus familiaris (dog). Its description in RNAcentral is "lncRNA (ENSCAFG00845007116.1)". Lineage: Eukaryota; Metazoa; Chordata; Mammalia; Carnivora; Canidae. The record is from RNAcentral.